UGGGGAAUAUUGGACAAUGGGCGAAGCCAUGAUCCAGCCAUGCCGCGUGUGUGAAGAAGGUCUUCGGAUUGUAAAGCACUUUAAGUUGGGAGGAAGGGCAGUAAAUUAAUACUUUGCUGUUUUGACGUUACCGACAGAAUAAGCACCGGCUAACUCUGUGCCAGCAGCCGCGGUAAUACAGAGGGUGCAAGCGUUAAUCGGAAUUACUGGGCGUAAAGCGCGCGUAGGUGGUUCGUUAAGUUGGAUGUGAAAUCCCCGGGCUCAACCUGGGAACUGCAUUCAAAACUGACGAGCUAGAGUAUGGUAGAGGGUGGUGGAAUUUCCUGUGUAGCGGUGAAAUGCGUAGAUAUAGGAAGGAACACCAGUGGCGAAGGCGACCACCUGGACUGAUACUGACACUGAGGUGCGAAAGCGUGGGGAGCAAAACAGGAUUAGAU
This 437-nucleotide ribosomal RNA is filed under the name uncultured bacterium. RNAcentral's name for it is "partial 16S ribosomal RNA". It matches the Rfam family "Bacterial small subunit ribosomal RNA", at positions 355 to 783 of the family's 1533-position model. The record is from RNAcentral.